Molecule: long non-coding RNA, 2369 nt
Organism: Vespula vulgaris
Lineage: Eukaryota; Metazoa; Arthropoda; Insecta; Hymenoptera; Vespidae
Exons: 3
Source: RefSeq, a predicted model, not a curated record
CUUUGUCUGAACUGAAAUUUUUUAAAAUUGAUUUUCAACCUAUUGUUUUAAAGUUUUUGAAAGAAUAUCUUGUAUUAUUAAUGUUCAUUGAGGUUACUUGAAGUAAUGAAGAUCUCAUUUUUAUGGCAAAAUAGGAAGUUAAACCUUGUGAAAACAGAAACAGUAUAUCUUUAAUUAAUUUGUUUCGCAUGUGUUUGGCUGAAUGGUAUUAUGACAUAUUCAAAUAAGCCAAAUGGUAUCGUGAUUGUUGUUUUGGAAAUAUUCAUUGGAACCUUUGAAAUUUAGUGGUAGAUUUUUGUAGGUCGAAGAAGAUAUUUUCCUCCUAGAACCAAUUGAAUAGAUUUGGAUAGAUAUGGAUGGCGAUAGAUACCUAUCUGCAAUUGUUAUAGCAUAUUUAUUGUGAAAGCCAAAUUGAUGAUCAGAUAUAGGUUUGGUUUCAAUCUUCUUUAUCUGACUUUUUCAAAGAUUUUAGAUAUGGUUGAUAAAUAGAAAGGGCUGUACCAAUUUUGGAUCAGAUGUUCUGAAAUUUCUUCUGUUGUUUAAAGAAAAAUAAAUGCUAUUUUUGAAUCAAUGUUUCUGUUUAGUAUUGGCGAGGGAACGCGAGGGUCAAUGCUAAAGAAGAAGAUGGGGAAUAUGUAAAGGUGGAUGGAGUAGUAGGGGCCGUGCUCGUCUUAGAUAAGAUUUUUAGAAUAAGUUCGAUAGACAGCAACACUAUAGAAAAAUUGUUACUAGGUUCAAGUAUUCAGAAAAAGUUCGGUAGACACAGCUCUAAAGAAAAAUUCAUACUAAAUCAGAUAUUCCGAAAAAUUCCACCAGGCAUCAUUAUAUCUGGUGAUGACAAAAAGAGGAUAAUAAGGUGAAUGUAGACUAUACAAGUUGUUAUAGAGGUAGAAGUCAUUGGUAGAGUAAAAAGAGGUGAUGAUCAGCCUCUGUUUAGCGAUUUGUAUGUCGCAUUCGGUGUCUUGUUGGGGAUUCAUAUUCAUGGCUUGUAUCGGAGCGUUUAUUGUAUUAUAAGAUCGAAAGCGGUUGCGGCGAUGGUGAUAGGGGUAUCGUUUGUGUGAUGACAUGUCGCGAGCGUGUCACAUUUCCGAUUUUCGGCGUUUCGUGUUCUAUUCUUUGUUUGUUUUCUCUCUUUUAUUCUUUCCUUUUUCUUUUUUUCUUUUCCCAAGUGGUUAGUGACAACGAGGAUGAAGAACAUAGAGGGUAGUAGAUGGCAGGAGUUCUCCAUAAAUUCAUGAUCAACGAUUGGUCACAGUUUUCGCAGUUUGCCUUUAUCAAGGAGAGCAUAAUGCCCAUUCAUAGGGAAUGGAAUGUGGUAGGGAGAAGGAAAGUUAUUGUAACAAUUUCUGAAUAUCAUUAUUUCUAGAAUUAGUUAUGUUUGUGUGGUAUUGAGGAUUUUAGCCGAUGCUUUGUGCGUGAAUAUGAGCGAGAAUAUAAGCAUAAGUGUGUCGAUCCUUAUAUCGAUCCACUUAAGAAUUUUCCGAGGCAUUAUUUCAGUGUAAAUGAAUCUUUAUUUUCGUAUGCAAAUGAGAGAGUGAGGUUUGGGUUCUUGAAGAAAAGGAUAGGAAGAAAGAUGGAUGUUCCAAAAAUGACACGAAGCAAUUAAGAUGUGAUUUAAGACGCUCUUCAUUUUUUUGUAUUUUUGUUAAUUUUUUUCGAUAAAUUUUUUAUUUUAUUAAAAUCAUUGAUACCAAAGAAAUUUUGGGGGAUUUGUCCGGGAUUGAGAUUGAAAUCAAGAUUAUGAUUGUGGUCGUGUUCUUACUUACGAAUAAAGUGUAAAAGUGAACGAUAAAGACUAUUAUGAGUACCACAAGUUGUCAGCAAAAGCUUUCUUGCACUAUUAUCGAAAAUAAUUAGACGGAAAAACAAUAGAAGAUAAAAAUUCUGGAAUUUAAAGAUGAACUUAAAUGACGAAAAUUGAAGAUAUAAAGGAAGAAAGACGAGUUAGUGGAACUAAUAGCUGCUUUACUGCUGAAAACAGCUAAAUAAAACGAAAGUGACGACGAUGGUGCACACACCAAUGACGACGCAAAGGAAAACAUAAGACUGAAGACGUAAGUCGAUAGAAGUUUUCAUUAUCAGAGAUGUAGAAGAGUCAAUGUAAACGUUCAUGAUCGACUAGAUGAAUACGAAGAAAUGACGACUUUCUGUAAUUGGACAGAUUUUCAGAAGCCUGAAGCUAUAAGAUCAAUGGCCGCUAAUCAAUACAUCUGUCAUGUUGAUUAUGAACUUGCCUCUUUCGUGAUCUUCAACUGUUUGUGCAGGAAGUUCCAGAUUCUGACAGUAUCAUUAUCACUACAAGUUGCCAGUUUAUUAUUUGUUGGACUGAGAUUACCUAUACAAAUACAAGAAUUACAAAUGGAUAAUAA